RNAcentral lists this long non-coding RNA (285 nucleotides) under Oryza brachyantha (malo sina). Its description in RNAcentral is "long non-coding RNA (OBRA_LNC001116)". Lineage: Eukaryota; Viridiplantae; Streptophyta; Magnoliopsida; Poales; Poaceae. The record is from RNAcentral.
AGUGUAACCUUUGUUGCUUAGAUGCACUUUAAAUUUGGCUCUAUUUAAACCAGCCAAGUUCAUCGCCAAGGUGUGCUACCUAGAAGGAUGCCGUGACCUACGAGGGAAAUUAUUAUGAAGACAAUGUUAAAUGAUAGGAAUGCAAGGCAUCAGAGUAUAUUUUCCAGCUGAACAGUUCCUCUCGACGGGCGUGAUGCUACUUGGGCUGCAUGCGUCCUUGAACAUCCCAUAGUGUAGAAGUCUAAUCCAAUAAAUCAUAUAUAAUCAUACUACCACAUGAAAUAU